UACGUAGGGGGCAAGCGUUGUCCGGAAUCAUUGGGCGUAAAGCGCGUGUAGGUGGCUCGCCACGUCGGAUGUGAAAGCCCGGGGCUCAACCCCGGCAGUGCAUCCGAAAGGAGGGAGCUAGAGUGCUGGAGAGGCGGGUGGAAUUCCUGGUGUAGAGGUGAAAUUCGUAGAUAUCAGGAGGAACACCGGUGGCGAAGGCGACCCGCUGGCCAGCGACUGACACUGAGACGCGAAAGCGUGGGGAGCAAACAGG
This 253-nucleotide ribosomal RNA is filed under the name uncultured bacterium. RNAcentral describes it as "partial 16S ribosomal RNA". It matches the Rfam family "Bacterial small subunit ribosomal RNA", at positions 524 to 776 of the family's 1533-position model. The record is from RNAcentral.